Molecule: long non-coding RNA, 683 nt
Filed under: Rattus norvegicus (Norway rat)
Lineage: Eukaryota; Metazoa; Chordata; Mammalia; Rodentia; Muridae
Description: long non-coding RNA NONRATT019771
Source: RNAcentral
UUUUAGAAUAUACCUCACAGAUGAAAUUUCAAAAAAAGGAGUUAUGGAAGGUUGUAGAUAGUCAGUUCAAAGUAGUGUUUCACUCUAUAAACUCAUUAUAAGUUUAAAACAACAGUUUCACAUGUCCUUGCUAAAUUCCAGUGCACACUGUUAGCAUCAUGCCUGGAUACUACCUAGAAUUAAUGUCUUUCAUUGAUCUAAGGUAUGUCUCAAAUUUCUUUCUCAUCUUACUUGAUUUUUAAAGCUCAUUUCAUUCAUUAUAAUUCAUUCAUUAUUCUAUGAGGAGGUGCAUGUACUGUUCUUGAUUUUAACUUUAUUACAUCUUUCUGGGAAAAUAAAACCUUCUCCUUAAAUUUCUAUCUAAAAUUAUUGAAUCGAAUCAAGAAUUCUAUAGUCAUUAAUUCAUCUAAAAAGCACUAUUAUUUUUUAAUCUUUAUUAACUUGAGUAUUUCUUAUUUACAUUUCGAUUGUUAUUCCCCUUCCAGGUUUCUGGGCCAACAUCCCCCUAACCCUUCCUCCUCCCCUUAUAUAUGGGCUUCCCCUACCCAUCCUCCCCACAACAAUCACGUUAACUCAUGGAUCAGUCUUGGCAGAAACAAGGGCUUCUCCUUCCACUGGUGCUCUUACUAGGCUAUUCAUUGCCACCUAUGAGGUUGGAGCCUAGGGUCAGUCCAGUCUUUGGG